This 448-nucleotide ribosomal RNA is filed under the name uncultured bacterium. RNAcentral describes it as "bacterial SSU rRNA". It matches the Rfam family "Bacterial small subunit ribosomal RNA", at positions 32 to 507 of the family's 1533-position model. The record is from RNAcentral.
AACGCUGGCGGCGUGCUUAACACAUGCAAGUCGAACGAAGAUAUGUUGAAAGCUUGCUGAUGCAUAUUUAGUGGCGGACGGGUGAGUAACGCGUGAGGACUUGUCUAGUACAGGGGGACAACAGUUGGAAACGGCUGCUAAUACCCCAUAAGCCUAAGGGUAAAAGGAGCAAUCCGGUACAUGAGAGACUCGCGUCCUAUCAGCUAGUAGGUGGGGUAACGGCCCACCUAGGCGAAGACGGGUAGCCGGCCUGAGAGGGCGAACGGCCACACUGGAACUGAGACACGGUCCAGACUCCUACGGGAGGCAGCAGUGGGGAAUAUUGGGCAAUGGAGGGAACUCUGACCCAGCGACGCCGCGUGAGUGAAGAAAUCCCUCGGGAUGUAAAGCUCUGUUGUGUGGGAAGAUAAUGACGGUACCACACGAGGAAGCCCCGGCAAACUACGUG